UCAUCGAUGGGGAUGCGUUCCAUUAGCUUGUUGGCGGGGUAACGGCCCACCAAGGCAUCGAUGGAUGGGGGUUCUGAGAGGAAGGUCCCCCACAUUGGAACUGAGACACGGUCCAAACUCCUACGGGAGGCAGCAGUGAGGAAUAUUGGUCAAUGGGCGCUAGCCUGAACCAGCCAAGUAGCGUGAAGGAUGACUGCCCUAUGGGUUGUAAACUUCUUUUAUAUGGGAAUAAAGUGCAGUAUGUAUACUGCUUUGCAUGUACCUUAUGAAUAAGGAUCGGCUGACUCCGUGCCAGCAGCCGCGGUAAUACGGAGGAUCCGAGCGUUAUCCGGAUUUAUUGGGUUUAAAGGGAGCGUAGGCGGGUUGUUAAGUCAGUUGUGAAAGUUUGCGGCUCAACCGUAAAAUUGCAGUUGAUACUGGCAUCCUUGAGUACAGUAGAGGCAGGCGGAAUUCGUGGUGUAGCGGUGAAAUGCUUAGAUAUCACGAAGAACUCCGAUUGCGAAGGCAGCCUGCUGGACUGUAACUGACGCUGAUGCUCGAAAGUGUGGGUAUCAAACAGGAUUAGAUACCCUGGUAGUCCACACAGUAAACGAUGAAUACUCGCUGUUUGCGAUAUACAGUAA
Molecule: ribosomal RNA, 623 nt
Filed under: uncultured bacterium
Lineage: Bacteria
Description: bacterial SSU rRNA
Rfam family: Bacterial small subunit ribosomal RNA
Source: RNAcentral